This 1055-nucleotide small RNA is filed under the name Olea europaea subsp. europaea. The record is from RNAcentral. Lineage: Eukaryota; Viridiplantae; Streptophyta; Magnoliopsida; Lamiales; Oleaceae.
GAAGCAAGCACCAAAGAAAUGGCAUGAGAAGUUUGACUUAGCAAUAAUAUCAUUCGGGUUUAAAUAUAAUAGCGUUGAUAAAUGUUUAUAUUCUAAAGUUAGUGAUGAUUAUGUGACAUUUAUAUGCUUGUAUGUUGACGACAUGUUGAUUAUAAGUAAUUACAUGGACGGAGUAGAAGAAAUAAAGAGGUUUCUUUCUUCCACAUUCAAGAUAAGGCACUUGGACAAGUGGAUACCAUUUUAGGUAUCAAAGUCAUAAAGACUAGUGAGGGUUACUAUCUAAGUCAAUCACAUUAUAUUGAGAAUGUAAUAAAUAAGUUCAAACAUUUGAACAUAAAAGAAUGUAGUACCCCGAUUGAUCCAAGUUCAAAACUAAUAAAGAAUGAUGGAAGGGCGAUUGCUCAAUUGGAAUAUGCAAGUGCUAUAAGGAGUCUUAUGUAUGUUGUUCAAUGCACAAGAUCAGAUAUAGCUUAUGCAAUAAGUAAACUUAGUAGGUUUACUAGCAAUCUGAGUAAUGAUCAUUGGAAAGCUAUUGUAAGAGUUCAUGGAUACUCAAAGAAAACUAAGAACUUGGGCCUACAAUAUACUAAAUUCCCGGCGAUAUUGGAAGGAUUUACCGAUGCUAGUUAGAUAUCUAGCACGGGUGAAAGUAAAUCCACUUCGGGUUGGUUAUUCACUCUUGGAGGAGGUGCUGUUUCUUGAAAAUCAAAUAAAUAAACAUGUAUAACACACUAACCAUGGAAAUUAAAUUUGUAGCUUUAUCGGAUACCAGAAAAGAGGUUGAGUGGCUUAAGGAUCUCUUAUAUGAGAUACCUUUGGGAUCGAAGAAUAUCUCUUCAAUACCUAUCAUGUGUGAUAGUCAAGUCACGUUAGCAAAGGCCUAUAACAAGGUAUACAAUAGAAAGUCUAGACAUAUGAGUCUGAGACAUGACUACAUAAGGAAAUUAAUCAAAGAUGGAAUAAUUUUCCUAAACUAUGUAAGGUCAAUUGAGAAUUUAGCGGAUCCUUUAACUAAAGCACUAAAUAGAGAUUUAGUGACAUCUACUUCGAGUAGG